This 334-nucleotide ribosomal RNA is filed under the name uncultured bacterium. RNAcentral describes it as "bacterial SSU rRNA". It matches the Rfam family "Bacterial small subunit ribosomal RNA", at positions 491 to 824 of the family's 1533-position model. The record is from RNAcentral.
CCCCGGCUAACUCCGUGCCAGCAGCCGCGGUAAUACUAAGGGGGCUAGCGUUGUUCGGAAUUACUGGGCGUAAAGGGCGCGUAGGCGGUUCUUUAAGUCAGGUGUGAAAUCCCGGGGCUCAACCCGGGAACUGCCUUUGAUACUGAAGAGCUUGAGUACGGGAGAGGUGAGUGGAAUUGCCGGUGUAGAGGUGAAAUGCGUAGAUAUUCGGAGGAACACCUGUGGCGAAGGCGGCUCACUGGACCGUUACUGACGCUGAGGCGCGAAAGCGUGGGGAGCAAACAGGAUUAGAUACCCUGGUAGUCCACGCCCUAAACGAUGAAUGCUUGCCGUU